CUUGAAAGACAAGAAUACGGAGUGACGGGUUGGAUUUAGAGAAAAUGAUUUGUUUCUUUCAUAUGUUUCUGAUGUGUUCAUCAGCUGCAAAUGACCUCCACAGAGAGUUUCUUCAUCACAUUAGGACACGGGUCUCCUCCAAACAUUUCUGGUGCUACAGUCACUGAGCAGAAGUUCUGUCCAACACAAAGCUGAAAGCAUGAAAACAUAUGUCAAUGUUCAUGUAGCAAUGACCCAAAAUGCAAAGAGUUAAUGUAACAACGUAUCAUACCCUAUUAAAAGCAUCAUAAGAGUGGUGAGCAUGACAGCUUCCUUCGCGGUAGCUUCCACAGACCCCUUCCGGUGUUCCGAAACUGGCAAACUUAACUGCUGAGAUUUUUUGCCCAGCAUCGCACUCUAAAUGCACUUUUGGCCUUAGGGGUUUGUUGACUUUACCAGAGGCUUUCAUCAGGUAAUUCAUUAGGUUAGGUUGCCACUCGUAGAUAUCAGCACAGACACUGUCAGUUUCUCGGCGUACCAAAGUAAUUCCAUUCGGAUCUCCACCCCAUUCCUCAAACACAACCAACAAAUUCCCUGUUGGGUUGAGCCAUGAACGAGGAACAUGGUACCUAUAUUAAGUUAGUAACCACAAGUCAGUCUAUCGAAAACUCCUAGAUUGUCGGAGAAACAGAAAAGCAGAUUGGUUUUGUUCUAGCUUACCAUCUUUGAGAGGCCUCUCCACAAUUAGUUCCACAUUUCUUCUCAUUAAAUGUUCCGGCAUAACUACAGACACCACAAUUUCCAGAUGCUUUAUAUGCAGGCCAGUGGCGUCCAAUGCUCUUUCCAUUUAUCCAAAUCUGGCCUUUGCCCAUACUACCCAUAUCUAAAGCCAAUGGAGAAU
This 880-nucleotide long non-coding RNA is filed under the name Gossypium barbadense (sea-island cotton). RNAcentral's name for it is "long non-coding RNA (GBAR_LNC019684)". The record is from RNAcentral. Lineage: Eukaryota; Viridiplantae; Streptophyta; Magnoliopsida; Malvales; Malvaceae.